This is a long non-coding RNA of Ovis aries (sheep), 622 nucleotides long. NCBI's taxonomy places the organism in Eukaryota, Metazoa, Chordata, Mammalia, Artiodactyla, Bovidae. The record is from Ensembl.
CACACACUGGCAGUGCCAGCCGGGGCUCCUCCAUGUCCUGCUGACAAAGGUCAGGCAGGAGGCAGACAGGCCUUUCUCCGCUCCCUGCCUGGCCUGGACCGGGCGCUGCCAUGGCUGCGGCCCCCACGCAAGACAGCCGACAGGACCCGCUUCCUCACUCUGCUGAUUACGAUGCUGGAGUCUGUGCUCAGCCCCGCGGUUCCCAGCCAAAGGUCCGGCCUGGCGUCCCCGCCUGCUGCUUCCUUUCCUGCUGACUGGGUGCCCUGGACCCUCUGAGGACAGGAAAGCGGCGCCAAGAACUCAGGCAGAAAAUACAAGUGAUAAAAACAACUGGAAUGUUCGAAGGUGUGACCAGCUCCCUGGGAGGGGGGCCUCGAGCAAACCGGGAGCCGCUGGGGUCGGGAGGAGUCACUAACAGCCAGUGCGCCCAGAUCACGCCGGGCCUGAAAGCAGACCCGGCCGCAUCCACGCAGCUAGCAGUUACCCGGCUCAGCGCAGGAGGCGCCGGCCACCGCCGCCGCUGCUUCCGCAGCCCGGCUCUCCGGCCCCCGGGCCGUCUGUAGCAGCCAAGGCCGCGCACCUGCUCCCGCUGGCGGCCCCACGCGGCGCGGCAUCCUGGUGC